This 22-nucleotide microRNA is filed under the name Ornithorhynchus anatinus (platypus). RNAcentral describes it as "Oan-Mir-2188_5p (mature (guide))". The record is from RNAcentral. Lineage: Eukaryota; Metazoa; Chordata; Mammalia; Monotremata; Ornithorhynchidae.
CAGGUCCAAUCUCACAUGUCCU